GACGAACGCUGGCGGCGUGCCUAACACAUGCCAGUCGAACGGAAAGGCCCUGCUUUUGUGGGGUGCCCGAGUGGCGAACGGGUGAGUAACACGUGAGUAUCCUGCCCUUGACUUUGGGAUAACUUCAGGAAACUGGGGCUAAUACCGGAUAGGAGCUCCUGCAGCAUGGUGGGGGUUGGAAAGUUUCGGCGGUUGGGGAUGGACUCGCGGCUUAUCAGCUUGUUGGUGGGGUAGUUGCUUACCGAGGCAUUGACGGGUAGCCGGCCUGGGAGGGUGGCCGGCGACAUUGGGACUGAGGUACGGCCCAGAGUCCAACAGGGGGCAACGGUGGGAAAUAUUACACAAUGAGCGGGAGCGUGUUACGGCGACGCUGCGUGCGGAAUGACGGCCUUCGGGUUAUAAACCGCAUUAGCCUGUGACGAAGCGUGAGUGACGGUAAUGGGUGAAGAAGCACCGGCUAACUACGUG
RNAcentral lists this ribosomal RNA (468 nucleotides) under uncultured bacterium. Its description in RNAcentral is "partial 16S ribosomal RNA". It matches the Rfam family "Bacterial small subunit ribosomal RNA", at positions 28 to 507 of the family's 1533-position model. The record is from RNAcentral.